This 314-nucleotide ribosomal RNA is filed under the name uncultured Gammaproteobacteria bacterium. Its description in RNAcentral is "bacterial SSU rRNA". It matches the Rfam family "Bacterial small subunit ribosomal RNA", at positions 193 to 491 of the family's 1533-position model. Lineage: Bacteria; Pseudomonadati; Pseudomonadota; Gammaproteobacteria. The record is from RNAcentral.
CUCUACGACCAAAGGGGAUCUUCGGACCUCUCGCNAUUUGAUUAGCCCAAGUGAGAUUAGCUAGUUGGUAAGGUAAUGGCUUACCAAGGCGACGAUCUCUAGCUGGUUUGAGAGGAUGAUCAGCCACACUGGGACUGAGACACGGCCCAGACUCCUACGGGAGGCAGCAGUGGGGAAUAUUGCACAAUGGGGGAAACCCUGAUGCAGCCAUGCCGCGUGUGUGAAGAAGGCCUUCGGGUUGUAAAGCACUUUCAGUUGUGAGGAAAGGUGUGUAGUUAAUAGCUGCAUACUGUGACGUUAACAACAGAAGAAGC